Pseudophryne corroboree (corroboree frog) is the source of this 1033-nucleotide long non-coding RNA. RefSeq lists it as uncharacterized. The record is from RefSeq and is a predicted model, not a curated record. Lineage: Eukaryota; Metazoa; Chordata; Amphibia; Anura; Myobatrachidae. The transcript is spliced from 4 exons.
CCAGGGCACUUUUAUUUUCCCUUUGCAGCCACAUGCUGCAGUGUGCUCAUACAGAAGCCGACGCUCUGCUGAGUUUGCUUCCUGCAUGGACAGGAACAGGAAGUCACUUGGUGCACAUGUGACUGUGAGAGAGGAGAGGAGAGGAGCCUUCAGAUGUGAGGAGCAGCAGCCCAGCAGGUCUAUCAGAAAGCCAUACCAUACGGGGGAGCACAGACUCAGUUCUUACAGAGCCCCACUGGUGUGCAAAUUCUGUGAAACACUCAGCACACACUUAUCUCACCAUCUGCGGCGAGUGUGCCAGAAGAAGGCAGAUCGCAGGCAAAUCCGUCUUUGGGUGGAAGAAGCUCGCACCAACAUGGAGAAACUUCAAGCUGGGUUGCUAUGGACGCGCCUCCCGGCGCCGACGCGUCACUUCCGGUGAGACGACGGUGAUGUCAAUCUGGGGCCCGGGACAGCGCGGCCAGCGACACCGGACAGAGGGGUAUGCACUGUAGGAGGGGGACUCUAGAAAUGAAAAAUGAACAAUGAAUGAAGAUGUGCAUAAUGAACGAAGAUAAGAGGAGGACGAUACGAUAGAAGCUACAUAUACAUUCAUGAUGGUUGAAUAAUAACAAUUGUUUCAACAUUUAAUAUAAAAACCACAUUUUUACCCUUAUGUACUAAUAUUUCUGGUGCCUUCAAUAAAAUAAAGUAUACAUUUGGAUACCCUAUGUGUGGUUCCUGUCUCAAACAUACUGAUUGGGCAUAUUAUUCCACUUAUUAAUUUACAUUUUUAUAUGAUGUAACUUAACUUAUAUAUUCACGUUCAAAUAACCCUAUAUAUUUUUACAUUAUUACUAACAGAUAUUACAUUGGUAAUUGUUGGCAGUCUGGUGGCCACCAGUGGAACAUUUUCAUAAAUCUUACUAACUUCUCUCUAGUAUAGGCUGGUUUUCCCAGAUAGGAUUGAUUUCUCAGAGCCAAAUAAUUGAAUAUGUUGUUCCUAUUUGUUAAACAGUGUAUAUUAAUGAGUGUCCAUUUUAUUGUUAUUAAG